RNAcentral lists this ribosomal RNA (488 nucleotides) under uncultured bacterium. RNAcentral describes it as "partial 16S ribosomal RNA". It matches the Rfam family "Bacterial small subunit ribosomal RNA", at positions 28 to 523 of the family's 1533-position model. The record is from RNAcentral.
GGUGAACGCUGGCGGCGUGCUUAACACAUGCAAGUCGAACGAACUUAUUAGGGCUUGCUCUAAUAAGUUAGUGGCAGACGGGUGAGUAAUACAUAGGAAUCUACCCAGCAGUACGGAAUAACUUUUGGAAACGAAAGAUAAUACCGUAUACAGCUGAGAAGUGAAAGAUUUAUCGCUGUUGGAUGAGCCUAUGCAGGAUUAGCUAGUUGGUGGGAUAAAAGCUUACCAAGCCGACGAUCUGUAGCUGGUCUGAGAGGACGAUCAGCCACACUGGGACUGAGACACGGCCCAGACUCCUACGGGAGGCAGCAGUGGGGAAUUUUGGACAAUGGGCGAAAGCCUGAUCCAGCAAUGCCGCGUGCAGGAUGAAGGCCUUCGGGUUGUAACCUGCUUUUGUACGGAACGAAAAGCCCCGGGUUAAUACCCUGGGGUCAUGACGGUACCGUAAGAAUAAGCACCGGCUAUCUACGUGCCAGCCGCCGCCGUAA